GAGACAGGUGGUAGUUAUAGAACACUGGAACAGAGAGUGGAGACAGGUGGUAGUUAUAGAACACUGGAACAGAGAGUGGAGACAGGUGGUAGUUAUAGAAUACUGGAACAGAGAGUGGAGACAGGUGGUAGUUAUAGAACACUGGAACAGAGAGUGGAGACAGGAACAGAGAGUGGAGACAGGUGGUAGUUAUAGAACACUGGAACAGAGAGUGGAGCCAGGUGGGAGUUAUAGAUCACUGGAACAGAGAGUGGAGACAGGAACAGAGAGUGGAAACAGGUGGUAGUUAUAGAACACUGGAACAGAGAUUGGAGACAGGUGGUAGUUAUAGAACACUGGAACAGAGAGUGGAGACUGGUGGUAGUUAUAGAACACUGGAACAGAGAGUGGAAACAGGAACAGAGAGUGGAGACAGG
RNAcentral lists this long non-coding RNA (416 nucleotides) under Salmo salar (Atlantic salmon). RNAcentral's name for it is "lncRNA (ENSSSAG00000108339.1)". Lineage: Eukaryota; Metazoa; Chordata; Actinopteri; Salmoniformes; Salmonidae. The record is from RNAcentral.